This 251-nucleotide ribosomal RNA is filed under the name uncultured bacterium. RNAcentral describes it as "partial 16S ribosomal RNA". It matches the Rfam family "Bacterial small subunit ribosomal RNA", at positions 524 to 776 of the family's 1533-position model. The record is from RNAcentral.
UACGAAGGGGCUAGCGUUGCUCGGAAUCACUGGGCGUAAAGGGUGCGUAGGCGGGUCUUUAAGUCAGGGGUGAAAUCCUGGAGCUCAACUCCAGAACUGCCUUUGAUACUGAAGAUCUUGAGUUCGGGAGAGGUGAGUGGAACUGCGAGUGUAGAGGUGAAAUUCGUAGAUAUUCGCAAGAACACCAGUGGCGAAGGCGGCUCACUGGCCCGAUACUGACGCUGAGGCACGAAGGCCAGGGAGCAAACGGG